GAUGAACGCUGGCGGCGUGCUUAACACAUGCAAGUCGAACGAAGCACUUUAAUCGAUUUCUUCGGAAUGAAGUUUUUGUGACUGAGUGGCGGACGGGUGAGUAACGCGUGGGUAACCUGCCUCAUACAGGGGGAUAACAGUUGGAAACGACUGCUAAUACCACAUAAGCGCACAGGAUUGCAUGAUCCAGUGUGAAAAACUCCGGUGGUAUGAGAUGGACCCGCGUCUGAUUAGCCAGUUGGCGGGGUAACGGCCCACCAAAGCGACGAUCAGUGGCCGACCUGAGAGGGUGACCGGCCACAUUGGGACUGAGACACGGCCCAAACUCCUACGGGAGGCAGCAGUGGGGAAUAUUGCACAAUGGGGGAAACCCUGAUGCAGCGACGCCGCGUGAGCGAAGAAGUAUUUCGGUAUGUAAAGCUCUAUCAGCAGGGAAGAAGAAUGACGGUACCUGACUAAGAAGCACCGGCUAAAUACGUGCCAGCAGCCGCGGUAAUACGUAUGGUGCAAGCGUUAUCCGGAUUUACUGGGUGUAAAGGGAGCGCAGGCGGUACGGCAAGUCUGAUGUGAAAUCCCGGGGCUCAACCCCGGUACUGCAUUGGAAACUGUCGGACUAGAGUGUCGGAGGGGUAAGUGGAAUUCCUAGUGUAGCGGUGAAAUGCGUAGAUAUUAGGAGGAACACCAGUGGCGAAGGCGGCUUACUGGACGAUUACUGACGCUGAGGCUCGAAAGCGUGGGGAGCAAAACAGGAUUAGAUACCCUGGUAGUCCACGCCGUAAACGAUGAAUACUAGGUGUCGGGGAGCAUUGUUCUUCGGUGCCGCAGCAAACGCAAUAAGUAUUCCACCUGGGGAGUACGUUCGCAAGAAUGAAAACUCAAAAGGAAUUGACGGGGACCCGCACAAGCGGUGGAGCAUGUGGUUUAAUUCGAAGCAAACGCGAAGAACCUUACCAAGUCUUGACAUCCCACUGACAGAGUAUGUAAUGUACUUUCUCUUCGGAGCAGUGGUGACAGGUGGUGCAUGGUUGUCGUCAGCUCGUGUCGUGAGAUGUUGGGUUAAGUCCGGAAAGGGGGGCAACCCCUAUUCUUAGUAGCCGGGGGUUUAGCGGGGCACUCUAGGGAGACUGCCAGGGAUAACCGGGAGGAAGGUGGGGAGGACGUCAAAAUCAUCAUGCCCCUUAUGAACUUGGGCUACACAACGUGCUACGAAUGGGGGUAAACAAAGGGGAAGGCAUUCCCGCGAGAGGGAGGCAAUUCUCAAAAAAUAACGUCUCGGUUUGGGAACGGUGUUCGGCGAACUGAACUACAGAAGGCUGGUAAUCGCUAGUUAUUCGGCGAUUCAAGAAUGUGGCGGGUAAUACGUUCCGGGUUCU
RNAcentral lists this ribosomal RNA (1373 nucleotides) under uncultured bacterium. RNAcentral describes it as "bacterial SSU rRNA". It matches the Rfam family "Bacterial small subunit ribosomal RNA", at positions 28 to 1382 of the family's 1533-position model. The record is from RNAcentral.